Molecule: small nucleolar RNA, 106 nt
Organism: Malania oleifera
Lineage: Eukaryota; Viridiplantae; Streptophyta; Magnoliopsida; Santalales; Ximeniaceae
Source: RefSeq, a predicted model, not a curated record
ACCUAAUAAUGUGGACAGUUACAAAGUAGGUCUCUGAAACGCUCCCAAGUCUUAAAGAAAAGUUCCCCAUCCAUCUGUGUGAAACUUGUGAUUGCCCUUUGCAGGU